RNAcentral lists this ribosomal RNA (394 nucleotides) under uncultured Lactobacillus sp. RNAcentral describes it as "bacterial SSU rRNA". It matches the Rfam family "Bacterial small subunit ribosomal RNA", at positions 144 to 524 of the family's 1533-position model. Lineage: Bacteria; Bacillati; Bacillota; Bacilli; Lactobacillales; Lactobacillaceae. The record is from RNAcentral.
CAACCUGGAAACAGAUGCUAAUACCGGAUAACAACAGAUGAUGCCUAUCAACUGUUUAAAAGAUGGUUCUGCUAUCACUCUUGGAUGGACCUGCGGUGCAUUAGCUAGUUGGUAGGGUAACGGCCUACCCAAGGCGAUGAUGCAUAGCCCGAGUUGAGAGACUGAUCGGCCACAUUGGGACUGAGACACGGCCCAAACUCCUACGGGAGGCAGCAGUAGGGAAUCUUCCACAAUGGACGCAAGUCUGAUGGAGCAACGCCGCGUGAGUGAAGAAGGGUUUCGGCUCGUAAAGCUCUGUUGUUGGUGAAGAAGGACAGGGGGUAGUAACUGACCUUUGUUUGACGGUAAUCAAUUAGAAAGUCACGGCUAACUACGUGCCAGCAGCCGCGGUAAU